GUUUAAGUAUUCAAAUAUGAUAUUAAAUUGCAAAUUUAAAGGUAAAUUUUUAUUUCUUAAACU
RNAcentral lists this transfer RNA (63 nucleotides) under Melyridae sp. 'Dasytidae' GENSP01. RNAcentral's name for it is "tRNA-Cys". The record is from RNAcentral. Lineage: Eukaryota; Metazoa; Arthropoda; Insecta; Coleoptera; Melyridae.